GACGAACGCUGGCGGCGUGCCUAAUACAUGCAAGUAGAACGCACAGUUUAUACCGUAGCUUGCUACACCAUAGACUGUGAGUUGCGAACGGGUGAGUAACGCGUAGGUAACCUGCCUGGUAGCGGGGGAUAACUAUUGGAAACGAUAGCUAAUACCGCAUAAUAUUGAUUAUUGCAUGAUAAUUGAUUGAAAGAUGCUAUUGCAUCACUACCAGAUGGACCUGCGUUGUAUUAGCUAGUAGGUGAGGUAACGGCUCACCUAGGCGACGAUACAUAGCCGACCUGAGAGGGUGAUCGGCCACACUGGGACUGAGACACGGCCCAGACUCCUCCGGGAGGCAGCAGUAGGGAAUCUUCGGCAAUGGACGAAAGUCUGACCGAGCAACGCCGCGUGAGUGAAGAAGGUUUUGGAUCGUAAAGCUCUGUUGUAAGAGAAGAACGGGUGUGAGAGUGGAAAGUUCACACUGUGACGGUAUCUUACCAGAAAGGGACGGCUAACUACGUG
This 504-nucleotide ribosomal RNA is filed under the name uncultured bacterium. Its description in RNAcentral is "partial 16S ribosomal RNA". It matches the Rfam family "Bacterial small subunit ribosomal RNA", at positions 28 to 507 of the family's 1533-position model. The record is from RNAcentral.